This is a long non-coding RNA of Dicentrarchus labrax (European seabass), 2769 nucleotides long. RefSeq lists it as uncharacterized. NCBI's taxonomy places the organism in Eukaryota, Metazoa, Chordata, Actinopteri, Moronidae. The record is from RefSeq and is a predicted model, not a curated record. The transcript is spliced from 3 exons.
CUCUCCUCCCGUUCAUUCACAUCCAACAUGGCUUACACACUCACACCGACUGACUGGCUGGCUGGCUCACACACUACCCUUCUGAAGCUGGUACAAGCUUGGAGCACAGUCACAGCAAUAUGGUGCUCCAAAAUGCAUAUCCUCCUUUUUCCAAAUACGAUUUGAAUGCACAAAAGAAAACUGCUCUCCCUCCCAUCCUCUUUCCCCUCUCUGGGUGUCAGCGGCCUCCCUCCAGCCUCGUGCUCCAUCGCCAGGAUUUGCUGCCGCUUUUCUAUCGUUGCUCUGACGCCCUCACACGCCUCAGUCAGCCAGUGUGAUUACUGUGGAAUGUAGGUUAUUGUGGCUCAGGCUGGCGCUGUUAACAGGAUUUGGAAUGGGUGCGUGUCGGGGGAGCAUGAGGACGUCUAGACAAGUUGUGACUAGGCAGUGUGUGAAACAGUGUGACAGGUAUUACUCCGUUUACCCAUUCAGUAAUGAUAGUGUAGAUGUAAUGAUACCCUUUUCAGCCAAGUAGGGGGAUGCUUUCCUUUUCUUGGCCACCCAUCACAGAGAGGUCUGAGGUCAAAGUGACAUCUGGAUCUGUCAGCUACUUGCACAAGGUCACUUCACUGGGGUAUAGAACUUGAUUUCCUCCAGUUGGAUCUAGGUCUUUCUUCUCUGAAACUGAAAUUGAAAUAGUGUAUUGUUACAAUGCUCCUCACUGGGAAAUUAACACUCCUUAGCCUAUUACUGUUUCAAUUUCAGUGAUUGUAAAACAAUUACCAGUAAUUCAAUCUUCUUAUCAUCCUCUCUAAGUGUGAGAGUGAAGUUCAGUUCGGCAAAACUGCAGUAUACAUAAAGUAGUUCAUCGUGCUAGAACAUGCAUUGGUGAUCAAAGUUGUUUGUUUUCUCCAGCAUAGCAACUGAGGAAUCCCACAUUCUUCAGGCAAAAGUAAAGCAAUGUAACAAGCACAAUGACUAAACAUCGCACACACAACAGACAAGAAUAUACAGGAGGCAGAGGGGAUUACACAGCAUAUUUCACAUCAAAAAUAUUCCCACUACACAUUGCAGAAUAUGAAAAUUACUUUAAUCCUUGUAUGCCCUUGAAAGUCUUUGAGAUAUUAAUAGCCUUGGGUCUAUCAGGGUGAGUAAAAUCCAGACAGCAGUGAAUCCACCAGGGGAAAUUUUCUGGCAUGAAAGUAAUUCUGACUCCUAUUCUGGAAGACGGAUGGUAAUUACCCCGAAUGGGAACUCUAAUAAAAUGAGAAUGUGAAAAUUUGAAGAGUCUCUGUCCCUUCAGAAAUUUGUUGAGAUAUAGAUAGACCCCAAAGUACAUUGAAUCUCAUUGUAGUUUUGAAGAACUUGGUUGAUCUAUUAGUAGAGACCCCAAGAGAAACUGAUGGCAAAGCCUUUAAAUCUUUGAAAAUAUACAGGAAUGAGGCGAAAUGCCUUCAGCACUCAAUAUAUUUAUUGGCAUUUGGAAAGACUAGCUACAGAUUACGUCACAGAUCUUGAGACCUUGAAGAAUCCCCAAUGUACCCUUGAAAACUCUUGAAUUAUAAAUAGCUCUGCCUGUCAAAUCAAAUAAAAAUCUGACAUAAAUCGACAGGGGCAGAUCCCUGCUUGUCUGUGUUGCUCUUAUUAAGUAAACAAAAUGAUUCAGAAUGUUUAAUAGAUAAACAAAUAAAUAUUAGACUUUUUAUUUUAUUUCCUUUCCUUUUUUACUUACAUUAUAAUGCCAGACCAAUAGGAUUUUACACUCAGGAUGUAACUGUUUCAUGUCCACCUUCAUCUUUUAUUCUGAGCAACUGGUCAGAUUAAUUAGGUUGAGUACAAAGUCUAAUAGACAGAGUGUUGAGUGACGGCGAGGAGGGAGCGCUGUGCCACUUACAGCUAUUUAUAAUGGAUCAGAGAGGCUGGAUGGACUAUAAACACUAAACGAAAGUGACUGACAGACAGUUACUACAGCACCCUGUGGGGCUCUGACAUCAGAGAGAGAGAGAGAGAGAGAGAGAGAGAGAGAGAGGAUGAUGGGAGAAGAGGAGGACAGACUGGGAAAAGAAGGUAGCUGAAAAAUCAUCACUGCCAUCAACUUCCAUUGUAGCCGCCACUGGAAAUACCCCAAUCAGAUUGUCAUCUAUUUUGACUAAACAGCCAUCUAAAAAUGCACCAUUAAACGAUGCAAGGUACAUUGUGUGUACCUCCUUUUUAAUGGAAAAUGAAAUGAUAUGGGACCAGCUGGUUCAUUCAGGACCACGGACAGCUACCUGUUGCAAAGACUUUACAACUGUGGGUUUUGCAAAGUGAAAAGUAGAAUGAUGGUGUCUGAACUUUUAUAACCCUCACUUGACUUUGUCUUCCCUUUAAAUGAGAGUCAGUAUAUACACAGUAUCUGUUCAGAAAUGUGAAAAACACACCCGCUUAUGGCAGGAUGUCUCGGUAUAUUGGCAGCACCUAAAAAACGAUCCCUCUGACACAAUUAAUUUCAUGAUUCGGUGUGCAGCCUCUAAUACCACUUGCCGUGGAGUCAGAAAUGAGAAGACCUAAUUCAAAUGAGAAAAUCUUAUUCCCUGUUUAGCUGAGGUAAUGUGGGUCAGGAACAGCUGGAUCCUGCUGCUGAUCCACUCUGCUGCCGUCUGCUCUGCAAUCCAUUAAUAGCAGCGUUUAUGCACACAUGAACAUAAUAUCUAAUAUUGUUAAACAGGCAAACGCAAAAAACAAACCUGCAUUCAUGCAGCUUCGUUUUUUGACAAGCCUGAAAUGACCAGAUGUUUUGCUAACUUCUAU